This 334-nucleotide unclassified non-coding RNA is filed under the name soil metagenome. RNAcentral's name for it is "partial contains 5.8S ribosomal RNA, internal transcribed spacer 2, and large subunit ribosomal RNA". The stretch from base 1 to 120 matches the Rfam family "5.8S ribosomal RNA", at positions 35 to 154 of the family's 154-position model. The record is from RNAcentral.
GAUGAAGAACGUAGCGAAAUGCGAUAAGUAGUGUGAAUUGCAGAAUUCAGUGAAUCAUCGAAUCUUUGAACGCACAUUGCGCCCCUUGGUAUUCCAUGGGGCAUGCCUGUUCGAGCGUCAUUUGUACCUUCAAGCUUUGCUUGGUGUUGGGUGUUUGUCUCGCCUUUGCGUGUAGACUCGCCUUAAAAUAAUUGGCAGCCGGCGUAUUGAUUUCGGAGCGCAGUACAUCUCGCGCUUUGCACUCAUAACGACAGCGUCCAAAAGUACAUUUUACACUCUUGACCUCGGAUCAGGUAGGGAUACCCGCUGAACUUAAGCAUAUAAUAGCGGAGGA